GGACGAACGCUGGCGGCGUGCUUAACACAUGCAAGUCGAACGGAAAGGCCCUGCUUUUGUGGGGUGCUCGAGUGGCGAACGGGUGAGUAACACGUGAGUAACCUGCCCUUGACUUUGGGAUAACUUCAGGAAACUGGGGCUAAUACCGGAUAGGAGCUCCUGCUGCAUGGUGGGGGUUGGAAAGUUUCGGCGGUUGGGGAUGGACUCGCGGCUUAUCAGCUUGUUGGUGGGGUAGUGGCUUACCAAGGCUUUGACGGGUAGCCGGCCUGAGAGGGUGACCGGCCACAUUGGGACUGAGAUACGGCCCAGACUCCUACGGGAGGCAGCAGUGGGGAAUAUUGCACAAUGGGCGGAAGCCUGAUGCAGCAACGCCGCGUGCGGGAUGACGGCCUUCGGGUUGUAAACCGCUUUCGCCUGUGACGAAGCGUGAGUGACGGUAAUGGGUAAAGAAGCACCGGCUAACUACGUGCCAGCAGCCGCGGUGAUACGUAGGGUGCGAGCGUUGUCCGGAUUUAUUGGGCGUAAAGGGCUCGUAGGUGGUUGAUCGCGUCGGAAGUGUAAUCUUGGGGCUUAACCCUGAGCGUGCUUUCGAUACGGGUUGACUUGAGGAAGGUAGGGGAGAAUGGAAUUCCUGGUGGAGCGGUGGAAUGCGCAGAUAUCAGGAGGAACACCAGUGGCGAAGGCGGUUCUCUGGGCCUUUCCUGACGCUGAGGAGCGAAAGCGUGGGGAGCGAACAGGCUUAGAUACCCUGGUAGUCCACGCUGUAAACGGUGGGUACUAGGUGUGGGGUCCAUUCCACGGGUCCGUGCCGUAGCUAACGCUUUAAGUACCCCGCCUGGGGAGUACGGCCGCAAGGCUAAAACUCAAAGGAAUUGACGGGGCCCCGCACAAGCGGCGGAGCAUGCGGAUUAAUUCGAUGCAACGCGUAGAACCUUACCUGGGUUUGACAUGGAUCGGGAGUGCUCAGAGAUGGGUGUGCCUCUUUUGGGGUCGGUUCACAGGUGGUGCAUGGCUGUCGUCAGCUCGUGUCGUGAGAUGUUGGGUUAAGUCCCGCAACGAGCGCAACCCUUGUUCACUGUUGCCAGCACGUUAUGGUGGGGACUCAGUGGAGACCGCCGGGGUCAACUCGGAGGAAGGUGGGGAUGACGUCAAGUCAUCAUGCCCCUUAUGUCCAGGGCUUCACGCAUGCUACAAUGGCUGGUACAGAGAGUGGCGAGCCUGUGAGGGUGAGCGAAUCUCGGAAAGCCGGUCUCAGUUCGGAUUGGGGUCUGCAACUCGACCUCAUGAAGUCGGAGUCGCUAGUAAUCGCAGAUCAGCAACGCUGCGGUGAAUACGUUCCCGGGGCUUGUACACACCGCCCGUCAAGUCAUGAAAGUUGGUAACACCCGAAGCCGGUGGCCUAACCGUUGUGGGGGAGCCGUCGAAGGUGGGACUGGUGAUUAGGACUA
RNAcentral lists this ribosomal RNA (1448 nucleotides) under uncultured organism. RNAcentral's name for it is "16S ribosomal RNA". It matches the Rfam family "Bacterial small subunit ribosomal RNA". The record is from RNAcentral.